CCAAUAGCGUAUAUUAAAGUUGUUGCAGUUAAAAAGCUCGUAGUUGAAUUUCGGGAUCAAUAUGUUGGUCGUGCCUUGGUACGUACUAAUUUAUUGGUUUCUUCCUUCUGACGAACCAUGAUGUCAUUAAUUUGGUGUCUUGGGGAAUCAGGACUGUUACUUUGAAAAAAUUAGAGUGUUUAAAGCAGGCUCACGCUUGAAUACAUUAGCAUGGAAUAAUGAACUAGGAUGUUUGAUUCUAUUUUGUUGGUUUCUAGGAUCGACGUAAUGAUUAAUAGGGAUAGUUGGGGGCAUUAGUAUUCAAUUGUCAGAGGUGAAAUUCUUGGAUUUAUUGAAGACUAACUACUGCGAAAGCAUUUGCCAAGGAUGUUUUCAUUAAUCAAGAACGAAAAUUAGGGGAUCGAAGACGAUCAGAUACCGUCGUAGUCUUAACCAUAAACUAUGCCGACUAGGGAUCGGAUGAUGUUAAUUUUUUAAUGACUCAUUCGGCGCCUUACG
RNAcentral lists this ribosomal RNA (498 nucleotides) under uncultured Glomeromycotina. Its description in RNAcentral is "partial small subunit ribosomal RNA". It matches the Rfam family "Eukaryotic small subunit ribosomal RNA", at positions 591 to 1092 of the family's 1831-position model. Lineage: Eukaryota; Fungi; Glomeromycota. The record is from RNAcentral.